AGAGUGAACGCUGGCGGCAUGCCUAACACAUGCAAGUCGAACGGUAACAGGCCCGCAAGGGUGCUGACGAGUGGCGCACGGGUGAGUAACACGUGACUAAUCUACCCUCGAGUGGGGAAUAACUGAGAGAAAUCUUAGCUAAUACCGCAUAACACUUACGAGUCAAAGCAGCAAUGCGCUUGGGGAGGAGGUCGCGGCCGAUUAGCUAGUUGGCGGGGUAAUGGCCCACCAAGGCGAUGAUCGGUA
RNAcentral lists this ribosomal RNA (246 nucleotides) under uncultured bacterium. RNAcentral's name for it is "partial small subunit ribosomal RNA". It matches the Rfam family "Bacterial small subunit ribosomal RNA", at positions 26 to 285 of the family's 1533-position model. The record is from RNAcentral.